Molecule: ribosomal RNA, 495 nt
Filed under: uncultured bacterium
Lineage: Bacteria
Description: partial 16S ribosomal RNA
Rfam family: Bacterial small subunit ribosomal RNA
Source: RNAcentral
GACGAACGCUGGCGGCGUGCCUAAUACAUGCAAGUAGAACGCUGAAGGAGGAGCUUGCUUCUCUGGAUGAGUUGCGAACGGGUGAGUAACGCGUAGGUAACCUGCCUGGUAGCGGGGGAUAACUAUUGGAAACGAUAGCUAAUACCGCAUAAGAGUAGAUGUUGCAUGACAUUUGCUUAAAAGGUGCAAUUGCAUCACUACCAGAUGGACCUGCGUUGUAUUAGCUAGUUGGUGGGGUAACGGCUCACCAAGGCGACGAUACAUAGCCGACCUGAGAGGGUGAUCGGCCACACUGGGACUGAGACACGGCCCAGACUCCUACGGGAGGCAGCAGUAGGGAAUCUUCGGCAAUGGACGGAAGUCUGACCGAGCAACGCCGCGUGAGUGAAGAAGGUUUUCGGAUCGCAAAGCUCUGUUGUAAGAGAAGAACGAGUGUGAGAGUGGAAAGUUCACACUGUGACGGUAUCUUACCAGAAAGGGACGGCUAACUACGUG